GAAAAAUAGAAAUAAGGGGACAAGCACAAAUUGGAGAAUACUAUCCUUUUAGCAAAGCUGAAAGCUGCUAAAUGUCGUAUGCUUUAUUAAUUUAAUUUUACUAUUUAUUUUGUGAACUUUUUAAACAUUAUAUCAAACUGUAACCUGUAAAUGUACUUCUUUUUUUCAAAAGUGCAUUUUUUUAUCUAUUUAAAUUAGGAACCGGAGGACAAAUAGGCACAGGAGGACAAAUAGGCACAGGAGGACAAAUAGGCACAGGAGGACAAAUAGGCAUAGGAGGACAGCUGGGAACUGGAGGAGGAUAUUAUCCUGCAAGCAAAGCUGCCAAAUAUGGAGGACAACUAGGAACAGGACAACUUGGAACAGGGCAACUUGGAACAGGGCAACUAGGAACAGGGCAACUAGGAACAGGACAACUUGGAACAGGACAACUUGGAACAGGACAACUAGGAACUGGAGGAGGAUAUUAUCCUGCAAGCAAAGCUGCUAAAUACGGGGGACAACUAGGAACAGGAGGACAACUUGGAACAGGCGGCGCAUAUUAUCCUGCAAGCAAAGCUGCCAAAUACGGUCAAGGUGGUGGAGGGUUUAUUCCAGGUGUUCAUGGAGGUGGUGGAGGAGGAGGAGGAGGAUUUUUACCAGGAUAUGGAUCUUUGGCAGCCAAACCUCCUAAAUAUGGUGAGACUUUGAUAUUUACAGUUUGAUACCUCGUAAUAUUUGCCAAACGUAUUCCACCUAUACAAGUCUAUCAACAUAUUAAUACAUAAAUCCAGUGAUACGGUUUUAAAAGUUGUGCCUUUAAUGCAAUAUUGGACUUAUUUUGCUUUGUUAAAAC
This 835-nucleotide long non-coding RNA is filed under the name Oreochromis niloticus (Nile tilapia). RNAcentral's name for it is "lncRNA (ENSONIG00000039472.1)". Lineage: Eukaryota; Metazoa; Chordata; Actinopteri; Cichliformes; Cichlidae. The record is from RNAcentral.